This is a long non-coding RNA of Triticum aestivum (bread wheat), 1337 nucleotides long. RefSeq lists it as uncharacterized. The transcript is spliced from 4 exons. Lineage: Eukaryota; Viridiplantae; Streptophyta; Magnoliopsida; Poales; Poaceae. The record is from RefSeq and is a predicted model, not a curated record.
UCAAUAGUACGAACCGGAAAAACCAGCCCACCCCACCGGUUCCUCCUCCUCUCUCCUGCAUCUCCCAGACGUGCAGAACCAUCUAGGGCAAAAACCACACGCGCACAUGCCACCGUCGCCGCCGCCGCCCAUCCUCUCCCCCCGGCCCUCCAUCUCCAGCCAAGUCCUCUCUUCCGUGCUAGAGGCCUCCCCCGAUCUGAUGCAUCACCGUGGGAUGAGUCAUGGCGACGGUGACGGCGGACGGCGUGCUGUCGGGCUACCUAGUGGGGGUGGCAAUGCUUGACCGCACAUGGCGGGGCGCGCGUCCUGUGCUUGCGACAGCUGCUGAUGGUAGAGCAGAAGACUUGCAGGGGUAACCAUCUGCAAGCUCAACAUGAUCGUUCACAUGACCGUCGCCGUCGCGAGAUUUGUUAUCAAGUUGCAUACCUGCAUAUACAGUAGUGAACCACACACGUGAAUGGGAGAGGAGGGGAAGAAGAGGAUGCAUCCUGAAGACAGAGGUCGAGAAGCUUGCGGAGGCAGGAAGAUCGGGUACAAGGUGAGAAUCUCUAUAAACCCAUGUUUGCUGUUGUCUUGGCAGGCCUUGCCCCUCACUGCUCCAUCACCAGAGCCUCCAUCUUCCUAGAUCCCACUGUUCCGUGAUGAACAUAUCCCUUGCCACCGAACGCUCCAGUUGUGGUACACUCACAAUUCCAAAUGAUAGGGAUAUCACAAUUGCAAGUAAGAGUUGAAGGAAACCAUGUUCCAGCAGAUAAAAGUCUACAUAAGCUGGACUGAUGUUGUUAUUCCGAUCAUGGUUUUGUUUCUGCAGGCUUGACGGAUUAACUCCUUGGUGUACAUAAAGGCAAGGGACGUAGUUAGUUGUCUUCCAAAUUCUGACGGUUACUCUGGGUUUCAAGGCUUGUUUAGUGUGGCAUAUGGUGCUCCUAAGUCAUGCAAUGGAUGCACAAUAUGUAUCAUUCUGUACUGGAUUGCAGAGAUUUUAGAAGUAAUUAUUUGAUGGCUUUUGAGACUUUGUUUCUAUAUCAUCUUCUAGAUAGCCAAACUGAAUCGCUCCGUAGACUAGCAGAUCCACUAAAUUGGUGCAGUGGAUGCUAAUUUCCAAGGCAACACCAAUAUGAGCAUAAGGACCAUCAAAUGUAUCAUGUAUGAUUUGUUCAAGGAAUACUAGAUUAUCCUCCCCGCAGAAAGGACUAUCAGAGGUUUCAUGUUGCAUUGCUUCUAGAUGGCAAGUCCGACCAAUUGUUGAGAUUUAUGUGAAUAACCAUUCUGGUAAGAAGUUCACGCAGAGUGUGACAAAAGGGUUGGGUCAAAAUAAAGUACAUGUAUUACUAAAA